Molecule: ribosomal RNA, 350 nt
Filed under: uncultured bacterium
Lineage: Bacteria
Description: bacterial SSU rRNA
Rfam family: Bacterial small subunit ribosomal RNA
Source: RNAcentral
AGAGUUUGAUCCUGGCUCAGGAUGAACGCUGGCGGCGUGCUUAACACAUGCAGGUCGAACGAAGAUGCCGGAGUGCUUGCACUUUGGCAGACUGAGUGGCGGACGGGUGAGUAACGCGUGGGUAACCUGCCUUAUACAGGGGGAUAACAGUUGGAAACGACUGCUAAUACCGCAUAAGCGCACGGUAUCGCAUGAUACAGUGUGAAAAACUCCGGUGGUAUAAGAUGGACCCGCGUCUGAUUAGCUUGUUGGUGAGGUAACGGCUCACCAAGGCGACGAUCAGUAGCCGGCCUGAGAGGGUGAACGGCCACAUUGGACUGAGACACGGCCAACUCCUACGGGAGGCAGCA